RNAcentral lists this ribosomal RNA (456 nucleotides) under Triticum aestivum (bread wheat). Its description in RNAcentral is "partial small subunit ribosomal RNA". The record is from RNAcentral. Lineage: Eukaryota; Viridiplantae; Streptophyta; Magnoliopsida; Poales; Poaceae.
AUGCCUAACGAUGAUGGUUUGUUCCCUCCCCUUUUCAGUCCUGUCUUUGAGGCUGCAACACUGAGCACUUACUUGUGUACCUCUAUCCUUCUCCUUGUAAUACUGUCACCAUGUGCGACAUCGGACACAUGGAUGGACUACCAGAGAAAGGACCUACUCGGCACAUCCCGAGUCCCUCUGUUCAUCCAGCCAAGCCAUACAAUCGUGGAAGUUAUUAAUGCAACUAAUGUACACAGAAAACCAACACAAGGAUACCAGACUGUUGGUUGCUUUCAGACUUGCCUGGAGGAACUGGCGACAAAAUACUCAGAAACCAAAUUUGUGAAAAUAAUUUACAGAGACUGUAUUCGAACUUCCCAGAUAGGAAUGUUCCUACAAUACUGGUGUACAACGAUAGUGCUAUCAAAGGGACUUGUGUCGGUCUGCAGAAGUUUGUUGAAAGAAACUUACACCUAA